UACGUAGGUCGCAAGCGUUGUCCGGAUUUACUGGGCGUAAAGAGCGCGCAGGCGGCUGGUCAAGUCCGAUGUGAAAUCUCCCGGCUCAACUGGGAAACUGCAUCGGAAACUGAUCGGCUUGAAGAUGGGAGAGGGUAGUGGAAUUCCCGGUGUAGAGGUGAAAUUCGUAGAUAUCGGGAGGAACACCAGUGGCGAAGGCGGCGACCUGGGUAGAUACUGACGCUGAGGUGCGAAAGCGUGGGGAGCAAACAGG
This 253-nucleotide ribosomal RNA is filed under the name uncultured bacterium. Its description in RNAcentral is "partial 16S ribosomal RNA". It matches the Rfam family "Bacterial small subunit ribosomal RNA", at positions 524 to 776 of the family's 1533-position model. The record is from RNAcentral.